CCCUAAGCUUCAAUGCCUUUUCUUAGGGACACUCACCUUUUGUUUAUUUUUGGUUUAAGCAUUAGACACCUUUUUACCUACACACUGCCUCCCGCUGUUUCCGACAUUUACUAAGCAAUUAGCUACUGGCUGCCACCUACUGAUAUGGAAGAGUAUUACAUGGUUACUCUGCCGAGCUCUAGACAGCACCGACACUCAACAACAACACAUCAUCUGCAGACUAUAAUUACUGGUUUGCAAAAAAUGUUUUUAACCCAAUUAGGUGAAAUUAGAUCAUCUCCCACGGCACACCAGACCGCGGCACAGUGGUUGAAAAACACUGUGCCAUAGUACAAGAAGAUGUAGCAUGAGGGAUCGGGGUUGCCAAUUUAGUGAUGCUGCUAUAUUUAGUGUAUAGACCCCUCUAGAUACACUUUGAUUUGCUAUUUAUGUUUUUUCCAGGUGUCAUGGCUGAAUAUGCAAAUUAGACGUAACAAAGUAGAUCAGUCAUGUGGGAAACACUGAUGUGACACUUCCACUUGAUGUGUGACUUCCUGUGUGAGUCUCCACAGUUCAACGUUUGUCGCCCUUUCACCAGAUCAACGUGCUGCUAAAAGUAGCAUAGCAUGCUAACGUGUCCCGACGUCACGGCGUGGACUUACAGGCGCUUGGAGAAGAACGUCAGGGUUCAGCCGGACCUCCAGCUGGAUGCUCGCGUCCCGGCCGGCCUCCACGUUGCCAAGGCGACACACCAGACGCUCGCACAGCUGGUCGCCACGCCCACAGAACUAUACACACGUUUGACGUGGAGGAGAAGAAGAAGACCAGUUGUUUGAUGAAGGACGCUUGAGGGACGUCGCAGUCAUCGAGGACUGAGACGGUGUCGCCGCUGACGGUGCAGGCCCCUUGUGACACCUGUGGAGAAGAAGGAAGGAGGUGGGAGUCACAAAACUGCAAAGACAAAGAUGACGUCAUUGUACACAAGUCUUACACUACACAACUGUGCGUGUGUGUGUGUAACACUAAGGAGUCCAUAUGUUGCUAUCUGCAGUCAAUAAGCCUGAAAAGUGCAGACUUCUCUCUGCCCACGAGUCGUAAUUCGCUGAAAAUUGGUACAGCAAAACCAGAG
Entelurus aequoreus (snake pipefish) is the source of this 1108-nucleotide long non-coding RNA. RefSeq lists it as uncharacterized. NCBI's taxonomy places the organism in Eukaryota, Metazoa, Chordata, Actinopteri, Syngnathiformes, Syngnathidae. The record is from RefSeq and is a predicted model, not a curated record. The transcript is spliced from 3 exons.